This 214-nucleotide unclassified non-coding RNA is filed under the name uncultured fungus. RNAcentral describes it as "sequence contains ITS1". The record is from RNAcentral. Lineage: Eukaryota; Fungi.
UUAUUUUAUAUAAACUUUUUUGCUUCAAGCCAAGAAACAAUGCAUCCAAAAAGAUACACUGGGGUUUACAGGGAUGGGUAGAACAGUUUCACUUCUCAAACUCAGAGGCAGCCGAAACCGCCUGCUGAAUGAGAUCUCAUGCUCAUAGGAGAAAAAGCAACGAAUUGCUUUGGUUCAUUUACUAAUGAUCCUUCCGCAGGUUCACCUACGGAAA